AGAGUUUGAUCCUGGCUCAGGAUGAACGCUGGCGGCGUGCCUAACACAUGCAAGUCGAACGGAGUUAAAGGAGCUUGCUCCUUUAGCUUAGUGGCGGACGGGUGAGUAACGCGUGGGUAACCUACCUCAUACAGGGGGAUAACAGCUGGAAACGGCUGCUAACACCGCAUAAGAUUGUAGUGCCGCAUGACAUAGCAAUCAAAUAUUUAUAGGUAUGAGAUGGGCCCGCGUCUGAUUAGCUAGUUGGCGGUGCAACGGACCACCAAGGCGACGAUCAGUAGCCGGCUUGAGAGAGUGACCGGCCACAUUGGGACUGAGACACGGCCCAAACUCCUACGGGAGGCAGCAGUGGGGAAUAUUGGGCAAUGGGGGCAACCCUGACCCAGCGACGCCGCGUGAGUGAAGAAGUAUUUCGGUAUGUAAAGCUCUAUCAGCAGGGAAGAUAAUGACGGUACCUGACUAAGAAGCCCCGGCUAACUACGUGCCAGCAGCCGCGGUAAUACGUAGGGGGCAAGCGUUAUCCGGAUUUACUGGGUGUAAAGGGAGCGUAGGCGGCGCUGCAAGUCAGAUGUGAAACCCCGGGGCUUAACCCCGGGACUGCAUUUGAAACUGCGCGGCUGGAGUACCGGAGAGGAAGGCGGAAUUCUUGGUGUAGCGGUGAAAUGCGUAGAUAUCAAGAAGAACACCGAUGGCGAAGGCAGCCUUCUGGACGGAUACUGACGCUGAGGCUCUAAAGUCAGGGGAGCAAACAGGAUUAGAUACCCUGGUAGUCCUGACCAUAAACGGUGUGCACUUGGUGUGCGG
RNAcentral lists this ribosomal RNA (804 nucleotides) under uncultured bacterium. RNAcentral's name for it is "bacterial SSU rRNA". It matches the Rfam family "Bacterial small subunit ribosomal RNA", at positions 8 to 827 of the family's 1533-position model. The record is from RNAcentral.